CAGAAGGAACAGCAGACUUCGCUUGUUUUCCAUUUUUCCUUGUGGGAAGGGGGGACAGCCAGUUUCCCCGUGGCAAAGUUUUCCCGGUGUUCGUGUUUUUUUUCCGGCAUGGCCUAAUUUUGUAGUUAAAACCUCCUUCCAGGGAGGGGCCGAGGCUUUUUGCCUGGGGACCUCUCUGGAAGCCGGGUCCACGUCGGUUUGAAACAACUUUUCUCCGUCUCCAGUCAGAGGGUAAGUGAUUUGGCAGUGAUGGAUAGGGAGACUAAGCUUCGGGCUGGACGAUCUUCGUCCUAUACUUAAUCUUUUAAUAAAUAAGGUAGUAUUAUUCCAUCCCUAUUAUUUAUUAUUAUUUGUUUUGGGAAAAAUCGACGUCUGGUUAUAAGCAUGUAUGUAGUGGUUACUGGGAUGUAUACUGUUCCUCAGCGGAGCUGCGGCGACGAGAGAACGGCCAUGUUGUGGUAGCGAUAAUUGUUUGCUGGCUGACUUCACUUUAAUGUGUAUUUAAUGUAUUUAUUUAUUCGUGAAUCUAUUUGUUAACUUAUUUAUUAGUAAUUCAUUGGUUAACCGAUUUAUUAUUAAUUUGUUUAUUAAAUAUUUGUUUAAUUAUUGUUAUCCUAGUAAAUAAAAUCUGUGCUUGAAUGAACUAAUCAUGUCUCUUUUCAGUACAUAAAUUAUACCCUACACUUCCUGUAUAGGGAGAAGACUUGGUCUCGAGUACCAUGCCUACCAACGAGCUACAGUACCAUCCCCCCCCCCCCCCCAAUGUUAUAGGUUAUUUAUUGUUUUGUGUAUAGGUGUAUGCGGGACGUCUGACGGAGUCACGUCACAAGUGGUGUGAGGCUUCGGGUAGUCUCUUGUAGGGUUGUUUGUGCUUUAUUUAUUUUUUUUUCUCUUACCUUUUUCUUUCGAAUUUAAUCAUGUUUUAUUCCAGAGCAGUGGAAGCAGUGUCAUGUGGGAGCACGCAGCGGACGCGUUGCGUUGUGCUUCACGUAUUUUUGUUAGUAAUGUUACUGUUGUUUUGUUUAAAUUUUAUGAAUAAAAAGUUUUUGGUUUAGUUAAGUUAGUCACUCAGUCAGUCAGUCAGUCAGUCAUGAGUUUCUUUUUUUUUUUUUUUUGAUCAGGUCACCUAUCAAGGUUUAUUAAUUUUAAUUACGUAAAUUCUAAUGCCGGUUUAAUGAUUAUUUAAUUAAUUUUGAAAAUUAUCAUAAUUAAAUUUUGGUUAAGAAACUAAGAGUUUGUGUGGAGUUUUGGUUUAGGAACGAUGUUAAAACUUGUGUUAAGUAAUGUUGUAGACAGUGCUUGUUGCGGGCGAGGAAAGUCAUGUGUCGUGGAGUGGUGAGGGGCGCGACGGUCAGCUGUGCGCUGACCUUGAGCGGCGGACGGCCUGGCGCGGUCCGGCUCGGCACGGCGCGGCAAGGCUCGUUCCGGCCCGGUGUUUACCGGCCGGCUGGUCUUCCAAGGAUACAGAUAAGAGUUUCACAGUUAUUUUUUUUUUUAACGAUUAAUUUUAUGUGCGUCAUUGACUACACCACACCGGCUAUUUUUUUUAUGAGUUAAUUUAAUAAUGUUGAGAGUAAUACUUUUAAUAUAAUUUAUUUAUUUGUCAUUAUAAUUAUUUUUGUUUUAAUAAUAAAUAAAAAAAAUUUUUUGAACUUUGCAUUUCAAAAUUGUAGGAGGUACACAGUAGAAUGGAUUAGCUCUUAGGAAAGUGUGAUGUUUGUUUAUUUUUGUAUUUUAAGGGAAUGAACUCCAGGGGAACAGUAAGGUAUAAUUUGUGUUGUCUUUGAGAUGAGAGAGUUGUUGUUAUUGUCCAGCCAGUGGAGCUGAGCUGGGACAAUUUGAGGUGUCCCUGGGAGAGUAGGGACUGUAGCACAGACCCAUAGGAGAUGGGCUGGCUACUGGUUAAGGGUCGGGAGAACCCUGUGUUGUUAGUAGUUGGGGCAGGAGUUCCCCAUGGUAGUACCGAGGUGGCUAUCCCGUAUGGGAUAAGGGUACCACUUCAAUUAAUUUUGUUGGUGGGGUUAGAGUCCCCUGUUGUGUAGUAGGCCUAUAGGAGAUAGGCACUACAGCGAAAUUUUUGGUUGUCCUGGAGGUAAAUUCCCUGGGUUAAGUUAAUGGAAUUGUGUUAAAGUUAGGAAGUAGGGAAAUGUGAAUCAUUGUUGGAGAGUGAGUUAGUGUACCUGCCUACGUAUUAAACUAAAUUUUAUUGAAUUAAUUUAUGAGAAAGCUUAUUGUGUUAAGGAUAAUGGAAGUGAGUUAAUUUUUUUUAAAUUUGUUUUUGAAGUAAAGUAUUUUAAGUAAUAAAGUUAAAUAAUAGAGUGAGUGGUGACAGUUAUGAUAGAGCAUUUUUGAAUUUAUUUUGUUUAUUCUACUUGGAAUGUAAUGUUUUGAUUUGUUCUCUCAACAUAAUUAAAAUUUAAAUAAGUUUUUUUUUACAGUGCCCCUUAUACAUUUGUUGACACAAGUAAUAAAGCAUUUUUAUUUAUUUACAAUUUUAUUUUAAUUACACGAAAAUUUGUAUUUAGAUUUGUGAUACAGAGGAAACAUUUUUUUUUUAAUGAGUUGUUUUGUUUGAGCUUGAUUCUUAUCAGUUUUGUAAAAGUAGUGUUACAGUACUCAGUUCAGUGGUGACCUGUGACUGGAUUCAUGACUAAGAAGACUGAGCAUGGUGUUGCUGGCUGCACAUCAGAGUGAAUCUGAUGGCACCACCAGUAGCCGUUGUUUCGAGGUGUUGCUGUUUUCACCAGACGAGACCAACCAGCUGAUGGCUGCCUACAGCCUAGCAGAUGUUAAGUUUCACUAGGGGAGACAUCCCCGAUGACAUGCUGCGAGGAAGGCAGGCUGAGGGCAGAACUGCUCUGAAGGCUGGAUCCUGGGUGUGAGCUGCAGAUCACACUUCAAGGACUCUUCUCUCCAGCUUCAUCUAGGGCUGAUCCAUCCACGGUUCAUGCCUCUCCUAGUUUUAUGUCGUACGAGUAGUUUUACGAUGUGCCAGCCACCAGCGAUUCUUACAGGAAAGAAUUGUUUCCUGGGCUAUUUACUAAAAUUGUAUUAUGUAUUGGUUUAACUUUCUCAGUUUAGACUUUGAAUUUAAUUGUUGUGGUAAAACCUAACCUUCGUGCGCUGUCUUGUUUGAGUAGGCAUUUAACUUGUAAUUCUUUGCCCCUUGGUUUUAUUCAUUGUCAGGAAUUUUUUUUUGUAUGGCUUGUGGGGCACAAGCCCUUGUAGACAGGAGUAAUGUCGCGGUCUGAAAAUUUCAUUAAUUUUUUUUCUUAAAUUUAUUUUACUUUUGUAUCUUGUUAGGUUAAUGUGUUGGUGUACGUGCGCGUUUCCAGGCUCGGCCGGUUGAUUUCGACACGCGGGUAUUGAAAUAUAGGUUACUGCGAUAGAAGUUUACUGGCACCGCGGCUUUUGCGAAGCUGCGUGGUUUGCGUUUUCUCGCGGGCCGCUGGCCAGGGCUCGCCGAGUGAUUGCACCACGUUGUUCCAAAAAACCCGCUGCGCUACGCUAGUCUCUUGUUUGUCGUUCUGUUUGUUCUGCCACGCGAGGCUUUUGUGUACUCGUUUCGAGGACUCUGUCCUGAUUAGUGUUGCCAUCUUGCGUCCGAGUUUGGAAACGUAGACUGAAAAAAACAAUCGAGCAGCGCAAGAGGGAGAGGGGGAAACUCGCUCGCGCCUGCGCAGAAGGAACAGCAGACUUCGCUUGUUUUCCAUUUUUCCUUGUGGGAAGGGGGGACAGCCAGUUUCCCCGUGGCAAAGUUUUCCCGGUGUUCGUGUUUUUUUUCCGGCAUGGCCUAAUUUUGUAGUUAAAACCUCCUUCCAGGGAGGGGCCGAGGUUUUUUGCCUGGGGACCUCUCUGGAAGCCGGGUCCACGUCGGUUUGAAACAACUUUUCUCCGUCUCCAGUCAGAGGGUAAGUGAUUUGGCAGUGAUGGAUAGGGAGACUAAGCUUCGGGCUGGACGAUCUUCGUCCUAUACUUAAUCUUUUAAGAAAUAAGGUAGUAUUAUUCCAUCCCUAUUAUUUAUUAUUAUUUGUUUUGGGAAAAAUCGACGUCUGGUUAUAAGCAUGUAUGUAGUGGUUACUGGGAUGUAUACUGUUCCUCAGCGGAGCUGCGGCGACGAGAGAACGGCCAUGUUGUGGUAGCGAUAAUUGUUUGCUGGCUGACUUCACUUUAAUAUGUAUUUAAUGUAUUUAUUUAUUCGUGAAUCUAUUUAUUAACUUAUUUAUUAGUAAUUCUUUGGUUAACCGAUCUAUUAUUAAUUUGUUUAUUAAAUAUUUGUUUAAUUAUUGUUAUCCUAGUAAAUAAAAUGUGUGCUUGAAUGAA
Molecule: long non-coding RNA, 4323 nt
Organism: Bacillus rossius redtenbacheri
Lineage: Eukaryota; Metazoa; Arthropoda; Insecta; Phasmatodea; Bacillidae
Exons: 2
Source: RefSeq, a predicted model, not a curated record